Molecule: ribosomal RNA, 243 nt
Filed under: uncultured bacterium
Lineage: Bacteria
Description: partial 16S ribosomal RNA
Rfam family: Bacterial small subunit ribosomal RNA
Source: RNAcentral
UGGGGAAUUUUGGGCAAUGGGGGCAACCGGAAUCCAGCCAUGCCGCGUGCGGGAAGAAGGCCUUCGGGUUGUAAACCGCUUUUGUCAGGGAAGCGGUACCUGAAGAAUAAGCACCGGCUAACUACGUGCCAGCAGCCGCGGUAAUACGUAGGGUGCAAGCGUUAAUCGGAAUUACUGGGCGUAAAGCGUGCGCAGGUGGUUGUGCAAGACAGAUGUGAAAUCCCCGGGCUUAACCUGGGAACU